Molecule: microRNA precursor, 86 nt
Filed under: Erinaceus europaeus (western European hedgehog)
Lineage: Eukaryota; Metazoa; Chordata; Mammalia; Eulipotyphla; Erinaceidae
Description: microRNA 412 (ENSEEUG00000016184.1)
Source: RNAcentral
GGUCCGGGAGGACUGGUCGGCCAGCCGGAAGGUAACAGUCGCUAAUGGACUUCACCUGCUCCACUAGCCGUCCCUGUCCACUGCAG